This 253-nucleotide ribosomal RNA is filed under the name uncultured bacterium. Its description in RNAcentral is "partial 16S ribosomal RNA". It matches the Rfam family "Bacterial small subunit ribosomal RNA", at positions 524 to 776 of the family's 1533-position model. The record is from RNAcentral.
UACGUAGGGGGCAAGCGUUGUCCGGAAUCAUUGGGCGUAAAGCGCGUGUAGGCGGUUUCGUAAGUCUGCUGUGAAAGUCGGAGGCUCAACCUUCGAAAGCCGGUGGAUACUGUGAGACUUGAGUCCGGAAGAGGAGAGUGGAAUUCCUGGUGUAGCGGUGAAAUGCGCAGAUAUCAGGAAGAACACCCGUGGCGAAGGCGGCUCUCUGGGACGGUACUGACGCUGAGACGCGAAAGCGUGGGGAGCGAACAGG